UUCUCUGGAUUUAUGCGUAUAAAUGGUCUGCGCAAGUCAGAUCGAAGAUCCCUGGAGGAUCGUAGGUGGCACAAGUGUUCUUUCUGGAGCAUCAUUUAGUAUUGUGAUAAUAAUUGUCACAAUAAUAAUAAUAUUAAUAAUAAGAAGAAUAAUGGGGAAAAAUCCGGGUCCCCCUGGAGCUCUGCUGCUCUGCUGAUAAUUAUAAAUAUAAUUUAUUUAUUUAUUUAUCUGUUCUUCCUUGGUGUCGCUUCUUCCCGAGCAUCAUCAUCAUCAUCAUCAUCAUCGGUGGAUGUGACCGGAUUCGAAAAAAAUGUCGCAGUUUCUGGAGCCGCUGGAGCUGUGCUACCGAUCUCUGUGCUCCUGCGGCGAUCGGGCCGUCGCCGACGGCAGCCUGCUCGACUUCCUCCGGCAAGUCUCCACCUUCGGCCUCUCCCUGGUCCGCCUGGACAUCCGGCAAGAGUCCGACCGCCACACCGACGUCAUGACGGCCAUCACGGAGCACUUGGGCAUCGGCUGCUACCGCGACUGGCCGGAGCAGCGCCGCCAGGAAUGGCUCCUCUCGGAGCUCCGCGGGAAGCGCCCCCUCUUCGGGCCCGACCUGCCCAAGACCGCCGAGAUCGCCGACGUCCUCGACACGUUCCACGUCAUCUCCGAG
This 655-nucleotide long non-coding RNA is filed under the name Spirodela polyrhiza (greater duckweed). Its description in RNAcentral is "long non-coding RNA (SPOL_LNC000792)". Lineage: Eukaryota; Viridiplantae; Streptophyta; Magnoliopsida; Alismatales; Araceae. The record is from RNAcentral.